AACGAACGCUGGCGGCAUGCCUAACACAUGCAAGUCGAACGAGACCUUCGGGUCUAGUGGCGCACGGGUUCGUAACGCGUUGGAACCUGCCCUUAGGUUCUGAAUAACUCCCCGAAAGGGGUGCUAAUACCGGAUAAUGUCUUCGGACCCAAGAUUUAUCGCCUUUGGAUGGGCCCGCGUUGGAUUAGCUAGUUGGUAGGGUAAAAGCCUACCAAGGCGACGAUCCAUAGCUGGUCUGAGAGGAUGAUCAGCCACACUGGGACUGAGACACGGCCCAGACGCCUACGGGAGGCAGCAGUGGGGAAUAUUGGACAAGGGGCGAAAGCCUGAUCCAGCAAUGCCGCGUGAGUGAUGAAGGCCUUAGGGUUGUAAAGCUCUUUUAACCGGGAUGAUAAUGACAGUACCGGGAGAAUAAGCUCCGGCUAACUACGUG
This 433-nucleotide ribosomal RNA is filed under the name uncultured bacterium. RNAcentral describes it as "partial 16S ribosomal RNA". It matches the Rfam family "Bacterial small subunit ribosomal RNA", at positions 29 to 507 of the family's 1533-position model. The record is from RNAcentral.